UUUAGUACUGCUCCAAACAUAUGAUCCGGUCACCAAGAAGGAACUUUUCUAGUAUUUGACAUCUAGUAUUUGUAAGCCGAAUUUGCAAAUCAGGAACUACUCUUUUGGCAUCUAGUUUAGCACUGCUCCGAUCACUCCCCACAUGUCCUCUACACCUUGGAAAAUGCCAAACAAGUUAAAAUGACAUGGAUGAUGUUCAUUUAUUGAUGAAUUCAAAAAAACGUGCACCAUUACAGCCAAAUAGUACAAAAUUUGUGAAGUACCAUGCAGAGUUACAGGAAGUUUAGUAAGAAUCAAGAGCAUGAGCUAAUUCGUUCUUUUCCUUUUUAAUCUGGAAGAUAUCCUAAUUAACCAUACAUUGCUCGAAGCUUCUGGCAGCAUGUUGCUUGCAGUUUUAUAUGAAAUGUCAAGUUGUAGCAAGUAUGUACACAUUAAUAAAAUCACCCUUAGAUGGAACCCACUCUUUGGUAAUUUCAUUGGCGAACAUAGAUAGAACCAAGCACAAUUUAGAAGAUGCUCAUGAACUUUACUUCAAAAGCACAUAAUAGCAAUGCAAACAGUGUACCUCUCCAAAGUUGCUUCACCUCCUUGACCAUCCAUCUGAGACCAGAGAACCUGUAAGUUUUAAAACGGAGCCGCAGAGGAGAUUUAAAAUGGAGCAUGUGUAUGUAUGUAGAAAAGACACAAGAAACACUGAAGAUUAUCUAAUUAGUCUGACAGGUUCAGUUACUCACAACUCUGGAAAACAUAUAUAUGCUUCUCUAGUACAAACUAAUUAGUCGAGUAGCCAGCACGAAACAGAGCAGAGCAGAGCAGCUCCUCCUCUGUUUUGUCUGGACCUACAGUAACUGAAUUCAGUCAAUGAAACUACUUUGUUUUGGCCUACUGAACACUCUCAAUACCGUCCUCAUGGUCUCAAAUAAGCAGAAACUCCAUCUACAAUUGUUUACAAGAUCCAACAGCAGAACCUACAUUUUCUGAUGCCCAUCUACAACUGUGCCCAUCUACAACUGUUUACAAAAGGAUGGGGUGGGGAGCAAAACACUUCCAUAGCAUAGAUACUCCAUUGUUACGUGGUACUUACAUGUUUAUUCCUGGCAUCUUCUGAUGCCCAUCCCUUCUUAUCACUAGAGCAACACUCCUUGUAUAGUCUGAUAUAGCCACAAUUCUGAUAAUACAAGAUUCAAAGUC
Molecule: long non-coding RNA, 1191 nt
Filed under: Triticum aestivum (bread wheat)
Lineage: Eukaryota; Viridiplantae; Streptophyta; Magnoliopsida; Poales; Poaceae
Description: long non-coding RNA (TAES_LNC022870)
Source: RNAcentral